RNAcentral lists this ribosomal RNA (502 nucleotides) under uncultured bacterium. Its description in RNAcentral is "partial 16S ribosomal RNA". It matches the Rfam family "Bacterial small subunit ribosomal RNA", at positions 30 to 523 of the family's 1533-position model. The record is from RNAcentral.
AUUGAACGCUGGCGGCAUGCCUUACACAUGCAAGUCGAACGGCAGCACGGGUGCUUGCACCUGGUGGCGAGUGGCGAACGGGUGAGUAAUAUAUCGGAACAUACCCUAGAGUGGGGGAUAACGUAGCGAAAGUUACGCUAAUACCGCAUACGAACUAAGGUUGAAAGUGGGGGAUCGCAAGACCUCAUGCUCAUGGAGUGGCCGAUAUCUGAUUAGCUAGUUGGUGAGGUAAAGGCUCACCAAGGCGACGACCAGUAGCUGGUUUGAGAGAACGACCAGCCACACUGGAACUGAGACACGGUCCAGACUCCUACGGGAGGCAGCAGUGGGGAAUUUUGGACAAUGGGGGCAACCCUGAUCCAGCAAUGCCGCGUGAGUGAAGAAGGCCCUCGGGUUGUAAAGCUCUUUUGUCAGGGAAGAAACGGUCUACUCUAAUACAGUGGACUAAUGACGGUACCUGAAGAAUAAGCACCGGCUAACUACGUGCCAGCCGCCGCGGUAA